UGCAGUCGAGCGGCAGCGAGAAGAAACUUGUUUUCUUUGUCGGCGAGCGGCGGACGGGUGAGUAAUGGUUGGGAACCUGGCCUAACGAGGGGGAUAACAGUUGGAAACGACUGCUAAUACCGCAUGACGUCUACGGACCAAAGAAGGGGAUCUUCGGACCUUUCGCGUUAGGAUGGGCCCAAUUGGGAUUAGCUAGUUGGUGAGGUAAUGGCUCACCAAGGCGACGAUCUCUAGCUGGUUUGAGAGGAUGAUCAGCCACACUGGAACUGAGACACGGUCCAGACUCCUACGGGAGGCAGCAGUGGGGAAUAUUGCACAAUGGGCGCAAGCCUGAUGCAGCCAUGCCGCGUGUAUGAAGAAGGCCUUCGGGUUGUAAAGUACUUUCAGCGAGGAGGAAGGUAGCGUAGUUAAUACCUGCGUUAUUUGACGUUACUCGCAGAAGAAGCACCGGCUAACUCCGUGCCAGCAGCCGCGGUAAUACGGAGGGUGCGAGCGUUAAUCGGAAUUACUGGGCGUAAAGCGCAUGCAGGCGGUUUGUUAAGUUAGAUGUGAAAGCCCCGGGCUUAACCUGGGAGUUGCAUUUAAGACUGGCAAGCUAGAGUCUUGUAGAGGGGGGUAGAAUUUCAGGUGUAGCGGUGAAAUGCGUAGAGAUCUGAAGGAAUACCGGUGGCGAAGGCGGCCCCCUGGACAAAGACUGACGCUCAGAUGCGAAAGCGUGGGUAGCAAACAGGAUUAGAUACCCUGGUAGUCCACGCUGUAAACGAUGUCUACUUGGAGGUUGGUGUCUUGAACACUGGCUUUCGAAGCUAACGCGUUAAGUAGACCGCCUGGGGAGUACGGUCGCAAGAUUAAAACUCAAAUGAAUUGACGGGGGCCCGCACAAGCGGUGGAGCAUGUGGUUUAAUUCGAUGCAACGCGAAGAACCUUACCUACUCUUGACAUCCAGAGAAGCCAGCAGAGAUGCAGGUGUGCCUUCGGGAACUCUGAGACAGGUGCUGCAUGGCUGUCGUCAGCUCGUGUUGUGAAAUGUUGGGUUAAGUCCCGCAACGAGCGCAACCCUUAUCCUUGUUUGCCAGCACGUAAAGGUGGGAACUCCAGGGAGACUGCCGGUGAUAAACCGGAGGAAGGUGGGGACGACGUCAAGUCAUCAUGGCCCUUACGAGUAGGGCUACACACGUGCUACAAUGGGGCAUACAGAGGGCAGCAAGACCGCGAGGUGGAGCGAAUCCCAGAAAGUGUCUCGUAGUCCGGAUUGGAGUCUGCAACUCGACUCCAUGAAGUCGGAAUCGCUAGUAAUCGUGGAUCAGAAUGCCACGGUGAAUACGUUCCCGGGCCUUGUACACACCGCCCGUCACACCAUGGGAGUGGGUUGCUCCAGAAGUAGAUAGCUUAACCUUCGGGAGGGCGUUAC
This 1411-nucleotide ribosomal RNA is filed under the name uncultured bacterium. RNAcentral describes it as "bacterial SSU rRNA". It matches the Rfam family "Bacterial small subunit ribosomal RNA". The record is from RNAcentral.